AGGCUUGGCACAGUGCCUAGCAGGCAUUGAGCACUCAGUAAAUACAGUGGUGUCCCCGAGGUCACCACCAGUAUGAAUGGCCCAGAAUAUUUGCAAGGGAAGGAGAGCUGUCAGCUGACCAGCCGCACCAGGCCUGCCCCCCUGGGGCCUCCUGCGGAGCGGGCCGGCCCCUCUUGUCAGGGCGGUGCCCUUCACGCAGCAGCUCAGUUCUUGGGCCAGGACGGGACACUCCUUGCUGGGCCACAGCCUGGUCUCACCGUGGGCCUUGCUUUCAGGAAGGAGCCGCCCUGGGCAUCUAGCAACAUCGUCCCCGGGAGUGGACUGGCUUCUUGUGUGUCCCAGCACAGGGUCACUGGACAGGGAGAGGGAGUUCCAGGAGGGUACUGAAUCGGACUUAGAGGAACAGGCUUGAAGGGAGCAGAAGUGUUGGCCUGGUGAUGUCCCAGAGCAGCAGCAGGUGUGUGGGCGGGCGGCCAGGGCCUGAGGAGCACAGCCCUGCUGGGACUUGACCUUUGAUCAUCAGGGGGAGGAUUCUUUGAGGGUCCGCGGGCAGGUCUCCAGGAGAGUGCUCUGUUCUCGGGCCUCCUGUCAGCGCUGGGAAGAGAGAACAGGGCUGUGGCAGG
Molecule: long non-coding RNA, 623 nt
Filed under: Marmota monax (woodchuck)
Lineage: Eukaryota; Metazoa; Chordata; Mammalia; Rodentia; Sciuridae
Source: RNAcentral